Macadamia integrifolia is the source of this 3544-nucleotide RNA transcript. It is a transcript of the gene named leucine-rich repeat receptor-like serine/threonine-protein kinase SKM1, with no coding region annotated. The transcript has 5 exons. The record is from RefSeq and is a predicted model, not a curated record. Lineage: Eukaryota; Viridiplantae; Streptophyta; Magnoliopsida; Proteales; Proteaceae.
UUCUUCUUCCUCUUCUAUUUAAACAACCCCUUCCUUCUGUUCCGCUACCCUCACCUCGCCCUAUACUACUCUUUUUCAUUUCUUCAUCUCUUCCAAAUUCAAGCUUGUUUCUCUGUAGAUUUCUCCCUUUGAAAUGAUGCGAUUUAGAUUCAGUGUAUCCGCAAGCUUGAUUCAGAAGGAUAUCAUGGCUUGAAGUACUUUUGAUCAUAAAAGCACAGAUUCGGUUCUGGAGUUUAAAAAAGAUCUUCAUCAUAGAUGAUAAUAGUAUAGAACUCGAUCGAAGUUUAAUUCAACUUCCGGCAAGGUUUUGGAAGGCAGCAGAGAAAGAGAUGGACAAAAGAGGAAGCCAAGCCUAUGUUCUACUUCUUUUCUUCUUACUUUUUAGCUUCAACGUUGUACUGAAUGGAAAGGAACUCGAACUUCUUUUAUCAUUCAAAGCUUCUGUAAGCGAUCAGUUUCAGUUUCUCGCUAACUGGAAUUCCAAUUCCAGUUCUGUCUCUUUCUGCAACUGGUACGGUAUCACAUGCGUCAAUUCUUCACAUGUUGUCUCUAUUGAACUCUCUGGAAAGAACUUCACCGGAAAACUCUCUCCGUCUCUUCUCCUUCUACCUUCGAUCGAAAGCAUCGAUCUCUCAAAUAAUGAAUUCUACGGAGAAAUUCCGUCGGCAACCUUCUUCUGUUCCUCGCUUCGAUACCUCAAUCUCAGCAACAACAACUUCACCGGUUCGAUUCCUCACGGCUCCAUUUCUGGCCUUGAGACUUUAGAUCUAUCCAACAACAUGCUCACCGGCGAAAUUCCUGCGGAAAUCAGACUAUUUACUGGCCUUAAAGUUCUUGAUCUCGGUGGAAAUGUCUUGCAAGGAAGCAUUCCUAAUUCCAUAACGAACCUCAAAGAGUUGCAGUAUUUGACGCUAGCUUCGAACCAGUUAGUAGGUGAAAUUCCGCUGGAGUUGGGUCAAAUGAAGAGUCUGAAGUGGAUUUACUUAGGUUAUAACAACCUUUCAGGUGGAAUACCAAAAGAAAUCGGUGAACUGACUUCUUUGAAGCAUCUUGAUCUGGUCUACAACAAUCUCACUGGAGAAAUCCCAUCGUCACUCGGAAACCUCACUGAUCUUCAGUACCUCUUCCUCUAUCAGAACAGACUCACUGGCUCGAUUCCUCGAUCGAUCUUUGAGCUGGGGAAGCUGAUUUCGCUUGACCUAAGUGACAAUUCUCUCUCUGGACAGAUCCCCGAGCUUGUAAGUCAGCUAAAGAACUUGGAAAUUCUUCAUCUUUUCUCCAACAACUUUACUGGAAAGAUUCCGGAAGCCGCGGCUUUUCUACCUCGUCUCCAAGUUGUCCAACUCUGGUCGAACAGAUUAUCUGGGGAGAUUCCAAAGAACCUCGGAAGAUGGAACAACCUCACUUUACUGGACCUUUCGACGAACAAACUCACGGGAAAAAUUCCAGAGAGUCUCUGCAACUCCGGUCGCCUUUUUAAGCUUAUCCUCUUCUCCAACUUCCUUCAAGGCCAAAUACCUGAGAGCUUAUGCCGUUGCCGAAGCUUACAGAGAAUCCGAAUACAGAACAACCUCUUAUCCGGUGAAUUAUGUCCAGAGUUCACGAAACUGCCACUUGUUUACUUUCUUGAUAUCUCCGGUAAUAGCCUCUCCGGCAGGAUCGACCAGCGAAGGUGGGAUACGCCCUCUCUUCUGAUGCUGAGUUUGGCAAGGAAUAAAUUCGUCGGAAAUUUGCCGGAAUCCUUCGGCAGCGAGAAGCUCGAGAACUUGGACUUAUCGGAAAACAGCUUUUCAGGAAGUAUUCCCCGGUCUUUCGGCGACCUAUUGGAGCUAGUGGAGUUGAAGCUCAGCCAAAACCAACUUUCCGGUUUCAUCCCCGACGAAUUAUCUUCAUGCAAGAAGCUGGUGUGUUUGGACCUCAGCGGAAAUCAGCUCAGCGGCCCAAUUCCGGUAUCUCUCUCCGAAAUGCCGGUUUUGGGUGAGCUCGACUUGUCGGAAAACGAGUUGUUAGGUGACAUUCCACCGACUUUAGGAAAGGUGGAAUCGCUGGUUCAGGUGAACAUCUCUCAUAACCAUUUACACGGGAGGUUACCAUCCACAGGAGCAUUUUUGGGUAUCAACUCGAGUGCUGUCGCAGGCAAUGAUCUCUGCGGAGGCGAAGCUAUAAGUGGUUUAGCGCCAUGCAGAACGGGAAAAAAUCCUUUAUGGUGGCUUCUCAUCACUUCAUUUUUAGUUGUUCUGGUUGUGGUCGCGCUUUCGCUUUCUGCCGUGGCGUUCAUGCGACGUAGGAGUGGAGGGCAGCUCAAAAAGGUUGACCACCAGGAUGGUACCUGGGAGUUGCAGUUCUUCGAUGCAAGCGUCUCCAAUGCCAUCACGAUCGAUGAUAUCUUACUGUCUUUGAAGGAAGAGAAUGUGGUCUCCAGAGGAAGUGAAGGAACAUCGUACAGAGGAAAAUCUGCCGUGCACGACUUACAGUUUGUUGUUAUGGAGAUAAAUGAUAAAUCUGUGCCAUCAACUUUCUGGGUUGAAAUGACCGAGCUGGGAAAGCUUCAACAUUUGAAUCUAGUUAAACUAACAGGGAUCUGCAGGUCAGAGAAGGUUGGGUUUCUUGUUUACGAGUUCGUGGAAGGAACGAGCUUGAGAGACAUUCUUUGGGGUUUAAGCUGGGAGAGUCGGCGGAGAAUGGCUAUUCGGAUCGCAAAAGCUCUUCAAUUUCUACGCCAUCGUUUGCCGAAUUUUCUGAUCGGAAACCUCUCGCCGGAGAAAGUGAUCGUUGACGGAAAAUCAGAGCCUCGCCUACGACCCUCCCUUCCUGGGCUCGUCGGUAGUGACUCCAAGAGUUUUCUCUCGUCAGGCUACGUCGCACCAGAGAUAAGGGAGAAGAAGGAAAUGGGCGAGGAGAGUGAUAUAUACAGUUUUGGAGUUCUUCUAAUCGAACUCCUUACAGGCAGAGGCGCAGGAGACACAGGAUUUGGCGUGCACGAUGGCAUCGUAGAGUGGGCCCGUUACUGUUACUCGGAAUGUCACCUUGACACUUGGAUUGAUCCUGCAAUCAAGGGAUGCGAAUCAAAGUUUCAGAAUGAGAUCGUUGAGAUUAUGAAUCUAGCCUUGCAAUGCACCGUACCAGAUCCAGCUGCCAGACCCUCAGCGACGGAUGCAUUCAAGACCCUUGAGUGUGCUACAAGGUCAAGUGCUUGCAUAUCAGGGCUGAAAUUCUCAGCUAUUAUAUAGUUUUUAAGUUUCUGUUUUCGUAACCUUUUUUUUUUUUUUUUUUUUUUUUUUUUUAACCCUCAAGUGCUUACUAUAAGUUCUUACUUACAUGAGUGUUACUCAAUGUUUUGUUUGUUAUUAUGCCAACAUACUAAAGAGUGUAAAAAUGUAAAUUACCAAUCAAAUGCCAUCAGGCCAUCAUAUGAAUUAUAGUUUUUUGUCUAUUUUUUUUUUUAUUCCUAUCGUUUCUGCAUUUUGUGAUUGUAAAAUGUACUCAGAUAAUACUUAAAAGGAGAUCCACCCUUUCAGAGCUCUUCCAGAAGCUCCAUUGCUGA